RNAcentral lists this ribosomal RNA (423 nucleotides) under fungal endophyte. RNAcentral's name for it is "eukaryotic LSU rRNA". It matches the Rfam family "Eukaryotic large subunit ribosomal RNA", at positions 169 to 599 of the family's 3401-position model. Lineage: Eukaryota; Fungi. The record is from RNAcentral.
CGCGGUGCCUUCCGAGUUCCCUGGAACGGGACGCCAUAGAGGGUGAGAGCCCCGUACGGUUGGACACCAAGCCUUUGUAAAGCUCCUUCGACGAGUCGAGUAGUUUGGGAAUGCUGCUCAAAAUGGGAGGUAUAUUUCUUCUAAAGCUAAAUAUUGGCCAGAGACCGAUAGCGCACAAGUAGAGUGAUCGAAAGAUGAAAAGCACUUUGAAAAGAGGGUUAAACAGCACGUGAAAUUGUUAAAAGGGAAGCGCUUAUGACCAGACUUGCGCCCGGUGAAUCACCCAGCUCUCGCGGCUGGGGCACUUUGCCGGCUCAGGCCAGCAUCAGCUCGCUGUCGGGGACAAAAGCUUCGGGAACGUAGCUCUCUUCGGGGAGUGUUAUAGCCCGUUGCACAAUACCCUUCGGCGGGCUGAGGUACGCG